Erinaceus europaeus (western European hedgehog) is the source of this 129-nucleotide small nucleolar RNA. The record is from Ensembl. NCBI's taxonomy places the organism in Eukaryota, Metazoa, Chordata, Mammalia, Eulipotyphla, Erinaceidae.
AAGCCAGUCAAUGAAUCUGCUUACCUGAUUGUGUUUCUGGAGAAAUUUUUUAUAACUGGCAAUAGCAAUGCCAUGUUAUGAGCCUUAAUGAUGUUAGGGUCUUUAAGGUCCCUGAAAGUGGCUACAUAA